GACGGGGCCGCACAAGCGGUGGAGCAUGUGGUUAAUUCGAUGCAACGCGGAGAACCUUACCUGGGCUUGACAUCCCGGGAAUCCCUUGGAAACAAGGGAGUGCCCUUCGGGGAACCUGGAGACAGGUGCUGCAUGGCUGUCGUCAGCUCGUGUCGUGAGAUGUUGGGUUAAGUCCCGUAACGAGCGCAACCCUUGUCCUUAGUUACCAGCACGUAAUGGUGGGCACUCUAAGGAGACUGCCGGUGACAAACCGGAGGAAGGUGGGGGAUGACGUCAAGUCAUCAUGGCCCUUACGGCCAGGGCUACACACGUGCUACAAUGGUCGGUACAGAGGGUUGCCAAACCGCGAGGUGGAGCUAAUCUCACAAAACCGAUCGUAGUCCGGAUCGCAGUCUGCAACUCGACUGCGUGAAGUCGGAAUCGCUAGUAAUCGUGAAUUCAGAAUGUCACGGUGAAUACGUUCCCGGGCCUU
Molecule: ribosomal RNA, 472 nt
Filed under: uncultured Pseudomonas sp.
Lineage: Bacteria; Pseudomonadati; Pseudomonadota; Gammaproteobacteria; Pseudomonadales; Pseudomonadaceae
Description: bacterial SSU rRNA
Rfam family: Bacterial small subunit ribosomal RNA
Source: RNAcentral